Mauremys reevesii (Reeves's turtle) is the source of this 277-nucleotide long non-coding RNA. RefSeq lists it as uncharacterized. The transcript is spliced from 3 exons. NCBI's taxonomy places the organism in Eukaryota, Metazoa, Chordata, Testudines, Geoemydidae. The record is from RefSeq and is a predicted model, not a curated record.
CAGGACAACGAGCCAGAGUAUGAGCCAGAUGGACUCCCAGAGGUGGUCAGAAAAGGCUUUGCUGAUAUUCCUACUGGGAAAACCAACCCCUGUGUUUUGCGCAGAACAGCGCUAAACCUAAAGACCAGUGCCCGUCUUGCUGCUCAAAGCCAAAAUUUGUCACCAUAUGGCCAACGUUUACAAAAAGGCAGGUCAGCUAAUUUUGCCAAGAUCUCUAAACCGACAGCUGGUGGCAGCAAAUCACCAAAGGUAGAUGAUACUCAGCAGUGCAAAGCAG